AUGAACUAUCUUGUUUGGAACUGUCGGGGCGUGGGAAACCGCCGGACAAUUCGUGACUUACUAGCCCUGGUUGCUAAUUCACCCCGACUCGUCUUUCUCUGUGAGACGAGACAGGCUGCUGUAAAAGUAGAGAAACUGCGAUGGAGACUUGGGCUCCGUGGCUUCCGAGGUGUUGAUUCAGUUGGGAAAGGAGGUGGACUUGGUCUGUUUUGGGAUGAGACGCUGCAGGUGACAGUUUUGGAGGCUUGUGCAAGAUUCAUAGAUGUACAGGUAUUUGAUCCGGGGAUAGAUAAACAAUGGCGGGUUACAUUUGUUUUUGGAGAACCUAGGGUCGAGAACAGAAGAAACAUGUGGAAUCACCUUACUAGGUUGUGA
This 375-nucleotide ribosomal RNA is filed under the name Triticum aestivum (bread wheat). Its description in RNAcentral is "partial small subunit ribosomal RNA". The record is from RNAcentral. Lineage: Eukaryota; Viridiplantae; Streptophyta; Magnoliopsida; Poales; Poaceae.